AAAUUAAUCUCCCCGUGAAGAAGCGGGGAUACUCAUAUAAGACGAGAAGACCCCAUGGAGCUUCAAACCCAACUACACCCCUAGCUCUUAUAGCCCCACAACCCCCCUAGGCACCGUGUGCUUGGUUUUAGGUUGGGGCGACCGCGGAGUACAAUAAAACCUCCACAAUGAAUGGGAACACCCCCUUAUCUGAGGGCCACACCCCCUAAGAAUUAGAACACUAACAUAAAAUGAUCCAUUACUUGAUCAAUGAACCAAGUUACCCUGGGGAUAACAGCGCAAUCCAUUUCAAGAGCCCCUAUCGACAAAUGGGUUUACGACCUCGAUGUUGGAUCAGGG
RNAcentral lists this ribosomal RNA (339 nucleotides) under Mantidactylus melanopleura. RNAcentral describes it as "partial 16S ribosomal RNA". It matches the Rfam family "Bacterial large subunit ribosomal RNA", at positions 2039 to 2542 of the family's 2925-position model. Lineage: Eukaryota; Metazoa; Chordata; Amphibia; Anura; Mantellidae. The record is from RNAcentral.